CAACGCCUCCUGUCAGUUCACGGUCAUCUGGCCAGAGGAAGAAUGGCGAAGCCUCUCCAAGUGAGUUCAGUCCUGGGCUUCUAGAUCUGCAUUCCUUCGACACUGAGCUGCUUCCUGAGAUGCCAGUUCCCGGACUGUAUGAUAGUUCCUCUCUGUUUCAUCCUGUUCGGGGGAGAAGCUUUGAUGACUCUGAACCUUAUAUUUCAACCAACAAGCAGACUGGCAGAGCUCCUGUUUUACCAGAUAACAAUCUCCUUAAGAGCUUUGCUGCAGACAAAGAGAAAGGCAGUUCUGUUGCGAAGAUCAAAGUUGUGGUGCGCAAGAGACCAUUGAAUAAAAAAGAGCUGGCUAAAAAUGAAGAAGAUAUAAUAGAAACACAUUC
This 382-nucleotide unclassified non-coding RNA is filed under the name Hevea brasiliensis (rubber tree). Lineage: Eukaryota; Viridiplantae; Streptophyta; Magnoliopsida; Malpighiales; Euphorbiaceae. The record is from RNAcentral.